Engraulis encrasicolus (European anchovy) is the source of this 1270-nucleotide long non-coding RNA. RefSeq lists it as uncharacterized. NCBI's taxonomy places the organism in Eukaryota, Metazoa, Chordata, Actinopteri, Clupeiformes, Engraulidae. The record is from RefSeq and is a predicted model, not a curated record. The transcript is spliced from 4 exons.
UCUGCGUUGAUUGACAGUUGACAUUCUUUAGAAUUAUUUUUUUGAUUGACAGGGCGUCGUCAAGGAGACGUUCGACUCAGUCAGUCCCGCGCCGGUGUCGUGCGCCAGGAAGUCCCUCCAGGGAAGUCCUUACUUUGAACAACUUCAUCACUUUGAUGGAUUAUUUCAUUGAUUCACUUUCCCCAUACUUUGGUCUUGUUGUGCCUUUGGAUAUACUAAUCCGUAUUAUCUCGGAAGCUCUGCAGUUUUGAGCACUUAAGGCGUCGGUGUUACUCUCUUCGCUCAGCAUCCAAACCGUGCCACCUCCACCAACAGCCAGAAGAUCAUCUCGGCAUCACAGCUGUCGAUGGGGCAUUACGUUUUUUCCUACUAGACUAAUGCUUGAACUGGCCUUGCCCCAGGGCAGACUCCUGACAUGAUGUUUAGUUUAGUUUAGUGUGUGUGUGUGUGUGUGUGUGUGUGUGUGUGUGUGUGUGUGUGUGUGUGUGUGUGUGUGUUUGUGUGUGUGUGUGUACUCGUUAUUUACUCUUUAUGAAAAAAAAAAAAAAAACUAACCCUCUUUGCAACUGCACUUGUUGUUCUGUAUAUCUCCUGUGCACUUUAUUUGCUUGUGAUGUUGGCUUGAUUAUGUCCUCUUUUGAAAGUCGCUUUGGUUAUAAAGCGUCUGCCAAAUGCAAUGUAAUGUAAUGUAAUGUAAUGUUAUCACUACCACAGCAACGGUUAGUAAUGUGUCAAACAUAGCCUAUACCUCUACUAGUGGUAUGACACUGUCAAAUGUUGCAUGUGAAGUGAAAUGCCUUGCCAUUAGCCUAUAUAUUCCUGGGAACAUUGUGUGUGCCUCAUUUGACUUAUCUGUAGCUUAUUAUGUUAUAGAGGUGCCAUUCCAGUGAGAUUUCCACAAAGAAAAGUGUCAAGAUAAAAACAGAUGCACCAUGGACCCUUUCCACCUCAACACCAAUCCAACAAAGGCCGGGUAAAACUUCCAGGUUAGAGGAGGAAGAGGAUGGCAUCACAACACCAGCUGACCCCUUGAUAUCUGGCAUUUGGAGAAAGAGCACAUCACAGUCGUCUGUGUGACACCCCCUCGCUGCACGCCAGCACCCAAACCAAGCCACCUCCACCACCGGUCAGAUCAUAUCGCUGAAGAUGUGUACAGUACGCUCCUGCCUGCAUCCUACCACCACAAGUUCACCCCAGAGGAUCUGCUGUCGACAACCAUUGUGAUAUCGUUGCAAUUAUGAAACACACUUAAUAAAUGCUAAUACAUCAC